This 390-nucleotide ribosomal RNA is filed under the name uncultured soil bacterium. Its description in RNAcentral is "bacterial SSU rRNA". It matches the Rfam family "Bacterial small subunit ribosomal RNA", at positions 26 to 421 of the family's 1533-position model. The record is from RNAcentral.
AGAUUGAACGCUGGCGGCAUGCCUAACACAUGCAAGUCGAACGGGAGUAGCAAUACUCUAGUGGCGGACGGGUGAGGAAUACGUAGGAAUUUGCCCUUAAGUGGGGGAUAACCCGGGGAAACCCGGAUUAAUACCGCAUGACCUCGAAAGAGCAAAGUGGGGGAUCGCAAGACCUCACGCUUUUGGAGAAGCCUACGUCGGAUUAGCUAGUUGGUGAGGUAAUGGCUCACCAAGGCGACGAUCCGUAACUGGUCUGAGAGGAUGAUCAGUCACACCGGAACUGAGACACGGUCCGGACUCCUACGGGGAGGCAGCAGGUGGGGAAUAUUGGACAAUGGGGCGCAAGCCUGAUCCCAGCAAUGCCGCGUGUGUAGAAGAAGGUCCGUUCGG